RNAcentral lists this long non-coding RNA (1272 nucleotides) under Salmo salar (Atlantic salmon). Its description in RNAcentral is "lncRNA (ENSSSAG00000092326.1, ENSSSAG00000118880.1)". The record is from RNAcentral. Lineage: Eukaryota; Metazoa; Chordata; Actinopteri; Salmoniformes; Salmonidae.
GUACGCUCACCACGCUGCACCUUGGUCUACUUCAUCCAACGGUCGUGACAUUGCUGAAUAUAAUGCAGGCCAAUGAAGACGUACCCAAGAGCUAAUCUAAGGAACGACUGAUUGACAUUUCACAAAUCAAACAGUUUUGUUAGCAAGAAUCCUAUUUAUGAUUUGUUUGUGUAUUUCCCCUCCCAACCCCUUCUCACAACCACAGGCUCCAUAAACAGCUGGAUCGAAAACUGUUUUGAUGAUCUGGAGCACAAAGGAUCUACAGAUGCUCCCACCAAAUCCAUCGGCAGAAGGCUGUCCAAGCCCCCCCCCUCCCUUUCUUCUGUCUCCUCAGGGCCCUUCUUGGAGUUCACAGCAAAGGACACAGGCACUCCAAGCCCAGAAUCACAUGUGGACUCCUGACCUCCCUCUUAUGAGGUCCCUUGGGCUUACCCAUGAAUCUUCUCCCCCGAAAGAGGAGCCAGGCCUCAGCCUGCUAAGCGACGACUUCAAGCGCCCACACCGCUCACCAAAGAAAUGCAGCAAAUUCUCUCAGUCCACAGCCAAGUGGGAGAGCAUUGUGGAGGUCCCUGAGAAAGUACAUGUACAAGUCUAUGACCCCACCCUCAUAGACCUCUACAAGUAAUCCAAGCCCGUAAGCAGUUGUACAGCCAGCUCCCCACCAUCAAGGCCCCCAGUGACUCUGGGUGAGCUCCAUGGGGAUGAGCAAGGAGGCUAGUCUGGUGCAGCUUCCAGACAGCUCACAACACUUCACACUGGAGCCCAUCAAGGGUAAGAGGGACUCCAACUGGAGGGAGAGCCUGUACAAGCUUGUAUCCCAAUAUGGCAUCCGCUCCACAAGGGCCAGACUGUCCGCUCUUGGCCCUCUGCAUGUCCCAGGGGCUGCCCAGCGCUACCACUGCACCCUGUCCCCUCUUCAGAUUACGAAGGCCAGCAAGGUGUCCCUGGGCCAGAGGGUGGUGCGGAAGAUCAUCAUUGGAAAGGCCCCCCUCCCAGUUCCACCAUGGGCUGCCCCUGCCCUGGCAGCUCAACAGCCACAUCAUGGACCCCUCUGGAGAGCAUGUAUGGGAGGCUGGAGGUGGAAUGGGUGAGGGAGCCAAUGGAGCCCCAGAGAGGGAAGGUGCAGGAAGUGAAGCUGCCCCGAUAAGGUCUAGGUGUCAUCCAUCCUAAUCACCAGGGGGCAGUGUGGGGCCAAGGUUCCAUUUAGGCAGUGUUAUGUUGUAUUGUCUCUGGAUAUCUGCGUGAUAAACAUCUACCAAAUUGUGAUGGAAU